RNAcentral lists this long non-coding RNA (6407 nucleotides) under Sus scrofa (pig). Its description in RNAcentral is "lncRNA (ENSSSCG00015064040.1)". Lineage: Eukaryota; Metazoa; Chordata; Mammalia; Artiodactyla; Suidae. The record is from RNAcentral.
UUUUUUCUUAUAAAACUACUUAAAUGAAUCUACUUUUGCCUGACAAAGUAGAGGAAUCUAAAGCUCCUGGAUUUUAAAAGCUUCCAUUAAAGCAGCUUUUCUUUUUUCAAAAAAAUAAUGAAUUGAAAAAUAAAUUGGAAGGCUUAAUUAAGCCCAAGGCCAACAGGAGACAGCCAGGACGAGGCUCCUUGACAAGUCCAGAAACCAGAGCAGGGCUGUGUCUCCUGCUUUUCUUAUUUCUGAAGCAGCUCCAAUCAAAGACAUGCCUUUGAAUCGUACGGAAUUAGAAUUCUGCUGUGUGUUUUCCAGGCGGUACAGUAUGUCUUCAUUGGUGCUAUAGCAGGCUCGUAAAUUAAGAUAAAAAGCUGGUGAGAUGGAGACAAGAACCUGUUCCUGGGAGGGAAGAGCAGGCAGUAGAGCAGCGCCCCAGAGUUCGUGGCUCCUGACACCCCACCCCCGGCUAACAUGGGCACCCCAUCUCCUCGGAUCUGCUGAACUAAAAGCCUGGACACUCUCAAGCCAGGCUUAAGCUGGCUGAUCUCAGAGAGGGAAAGGUCUGUGACCCAACCACGCACGUGUGCCACCCUCCCCAGGGUCUGCCUGGGACCAGCACCCAAGAAGGGGCAGACAGUGCCCUGGGUAGCCUAAACGGGUACCACUGGCCAGAGGCCACAAUAAACUGGCAGGGACGGCCAUGAGCUAGACACUGCAUGUGUGUGUGAACUUGCUUUGCCUUAAUUCAAGGGCAUAUUCAUCCCCUUGAAAACUUAUUCAGCACCGUUAACUAUAGCAGGCGCCAUCCUAAUACCAGAGGUACAACAGGGAGAAAGUUGGAGUGAAAAAGCCCUGCCUUUGUGCAAAACCUACAUCAACUGGAGGAGGCAAGCAGCAAUCAGAACCCCGAGAAACAAUCAGUGUGCUUAUGCCCAACUCCCCCAAAGGCAUCUGAGACCCUGUGAGCAGAGACCCUUGCCCUAGGGUAGGCUCUCUGCCCCUGUCUCAGGAUGCUGACAUAAAGCCUGGGCUCCAGACAAAGUAGACUAUUCAUUUGCCUCCAACUCCAUCCUUGCCUGCUCCCACGUUCACACUCCCUCUGUACCAGAGAGAGCGCCCUCUUUACCUCUCAAACAUCCUCCUCUACCCUCGGAACCCAAAUCCAGGCCACUUCCUCUGUGAGCCUCCCCAGUCCUCUCCCCCUACCCAUGCGCAGUCUCCAGCAUGGAGAGUGGAGCCUCGCCCAGCAUGGUUUGAGGCUCACACAGAAAUGCAACUCGAAAACUCAGGAUGAUAAAGAACAAUCUUCAGGGCAGGAAAUAGUUAGUGGAAGCUUCCAGGAAGAAGCUGCCCUGCGUCUCUGCUGGAAGAAGCUAAGUGGGACAAGGGAAGGGCAAAGUACUCCAGGGAGGGGCUGGGCCUGGCCCAACACUCCCAGGGGCCAGGCAGGGUGCUGGCCCCCCGGGGGCAGAAUUUCUCCCUUGUCGGGAUGGUGCUGCGCUGGGGAGGGUGACCCCAGCAAGGCUGGAGGAAUGGGGAGCACCAAAGUCAGGCAGCUCUGGGAGGUCUCUGCAGGCUCCCCAGCAGAGCACUGAGCAACCUAGUGGGGCCAGUAUGCAGCUGUGUGGGACUCACAGGUGUUGGGGGGGGCGGGCAAGGGAGAACUCAACCUCUGCAAGUAUCCAUGCAGGGCGAUGUGGCGUCCAGCAGCGGUGGCCAGAGCAAAGAUGAGGGCACAGAUCUAGAGGCCAGUGGAAGAAGGUGGCCCCCAAAUCCGAGCCCUCCUGUGUGGUCUUUGUCUCUGGGAAUGUUCACUCAGAGAAGGAAGGACAGCACUUGGGUCCUUUCAGACCUAAAGGACCUGAAACAUAAAAACGUGACUCACUCAAGGUCAGGGCACAUUGACCAUACCCUAGGGAAGUAAAGUCUGUAGCCCAGCGCUGGUCUUGCAGUAAAUGGGCUGGGUUCAAAUCCUGUUUCUGGGACUUUUCAGCAGUGUGCUUUGGGGCAGGCUACCUAUCCUUGCAAAGCCCAAGCUUCCUUCCCUGCAAAGCGGGAAGAGGGAGUUCCCUCUGUGGCUCAGCAGUAACGAACCCAACUAGUAUCCACGAGGACGCAGGAUCGAUCCCUGGCCUCACUCAGUGGGUUAAGGAUCUGGCACUGCCAUGAGCUGCGGUGUAGGUCGCAGAUGUAAUUUGGAUCCCACGUUGCUAUGGCUGUGGUGUAGGCUGGCAGCUGUAGCUCCAAUUCAACCCCUAGCCUGGGAACUUCCAUAUGGGGCAGGUGGGGUCCUAAACAAGACAAAAAAGAAAAAAACCUGGGAAGAGAAAUGCCCCCCAGUUGCCCGACUGGGUGUCGAGAAGAUGGUGACAGGCAGUGGGCCUGGCUGCAAGCUGGGGUCAAGUCUUCGGUUGAGAGGGAGGCAAAGGGGGGCAGAGGGGAGCUGGGAGGAAGCACCAGCCUGGAAAACAGGUCGCUGAGGAGGGCGACCUAAGUGACCCUCCCAGGGGCGACACCCCCUCCCCCACCCCCACCCCUACCCCCGCUGAGGGAGAGCGCCUCUCCCAGCCAGUCUCCAAGUGUAAAUCCCCAACUCCUCUACUGUGGCAGCAGAAACACCAAGGUUAUUUCGCAAAGCACUGAGAAAUGUUAACUCCCUGGGGCUCUUUAUGCAAAGACAGACUCGAAACAAGAGGAUCCGGUGGCCCCGGGAGACUGACAGGAAGAGAGACGCACGUUAAUAUUUCAUUAGCGUCCCAUUAGCAAGAUAACACGCGUCUUCACACUUGGUGACUCCUUGGGAAGAACGUCUCAUUCAAAAACAAAUGGGGGCCUCCGCUGCUGCCUACCCCCGCUGGCCUGCUAAGCAUCUCGGAGCAGCCUGUUGGGAAAGGACUUGACCUUCAGGGUUACGACUGCCCAAGCCCAUGCACUCAAGAGUGUGAGACCUCCUAAGAGGCCCCUACAAGACCUGCCAAGUAAUUGAGCCAGAAAAUCCAGGAGGCCCAGGCUUUCCUAUGCUUCUCAAGCCAGGCUCAGACCCCCCAGGCCUGUCGCGGUGGAGCCACCCAGCAAUGAGGGGGUGCCGAACCCCUGGCCCUUCGGUUACAGCUACAGUGGGAGGCCAGGCAGGGGGUGGGCAGGGGUCAAAGAGACACAGGGGGCAGGGCGCCCUAAGCUACCACUGGGCAACUCGUCAUCACAUUCUUUGGCUCAGCAAACCUGUACCAGCCACCUAGUGUGUGCCAGGAACGAACUUGAGGCAGGCAAGGGCAGGACGCUCACGGAGAGAAAUGAAGUCAAGGAUUUACGUUUCACCGCAGACCCUAGAGUCUCAGAGCUGCCCCUGUUCAGUGAUGAAAGCAGCGCGGCACAGACGGCCUGUUCUUACCGCUGGAGGCAGGGCUGGUGAGGGGAGGGCUCUGGAGGCUGGACUCACUCUGCCCUGGGUCGGGGGGUAUCCCUCCGUAAGUGCGCCUUAGAGAGUAUUUAGAGAUGACAAAACUCAUCUUUGCAGCAAAGAUGCUGCAAAUGGGCUUUGCUUCCGGGCUCUCAGACUUGGUAUAAACGUCUCAUUUUCUGGAUGGGCAGAAAAUGAGGAUCACUGCUCUCCCCCUCCCCCUCCUCCUCAUCCCCACCAGGGCACAUGCAGCCAAAGGAAAUGACAGCAGGCGGCACCCUCUCAGCUCAAAGGAGCCACCUUCAUACAGCGGCCCCCUGGGACCUGAACCUCCUCUGGGGACCACCCUACAGACUGCGUUUCCUGGCCGCGAGCAAAAGCCAUCACCACGUCGGAAGAGCAGGGGGCACUGGCCUCCAGGGACGCCCUCCGAGAUUCCCUCUAAUUCGGCCGAUUAAUUUAAAGAGAGGAAGCUGGCCAGGAGCGGGAGGCACAGGGGACGUCUGGGAGGAUGUAAUUACUGCAGCUGCUCCAAACGGAAGGCAACGCCUGGCUCCUCCUUAGCAGGUGCACGGCAAUUUAGGAGGACAUCCUGGAGGACCGCGAUGGCGACACGCAGCUCCCUUUUAGGGCCGCGCCACGCCCGCCACCUCAGUGUCUUCACUGAUGAGUAGUUACAAACGAAGCCCUCCCAGCAGAAGCUGCUGGAAGCCCAGUGAGGGGCGCAGGGCCUGGAAAGGCUGGCGGCCCAGGGACUGGCACACUCUGGACUCUGCAGCCACGGGUCCCCACGCAGAGACCCGCCAGGUGACAGGAGAGCACAGCUCCUGCCGCCCGAUUAGAGAUGCAGUGGGGGUUCCUGUUCGCCAAGCGCAGUAAACACAGAAGGCACGAGAUGGAUGGCGAGGACGGAGUGACCUUCCCAAAUCAUGACCCACUGGAGGGGCAGAAGGAGAGCAGAGGGCUGCUUCCCAACAGCUGGAGUUCACAUCCAGUCAUUCCCGACAUUCUCCCUUCCAGGAGAACCUCCCCCCAAAACUGCACUGGCUUCCUCUUGCGAGCCUCAAAUGGGGCAGAAACACUCCUGUGGAGGGGCUAACCCUGCAGAGCUUCACCCCAGCCUGGCGAGGAAGAGACACACGUAGACUUGGGGCCACCCAGGUGACGCAGAAGCUGGAAGAUAACUGGCGAGGAAGAAGAAGAAGAAGAAGUGGCUACAUGGGUGUUUUGAGCUUAUAACCUUUCUUUCUUUCUCUCUCUUUCCCUGCAGGUCACCCGGGCGAAGCCCCUGGCGGCUCUGGAAUCACCUGGAUGCUGAACUUUCAUUACGCCCCAGCAGGAGGAGAAUACACAACGUGCACCUUCGAGCUCUGAGCAGCCACCCGGGCCCAAAAGAGGCUGCCCUGCCUCAGCGCACCUGCUCCACCGAGAAGUUAAGGGGCUGUGCCCAGACCCCAAGGCCGGUCAAUAGGCAGGUAAAGCCGAGAGCUGGAAGGGGCAGCUGCAGGCCCUGGGACGACACGUUGUGAGAAGGGCCCAUGGAUCUGGGGGUUGGUGAGCUGGACAAGAUUGGCUGCUCAGAGCUCGAUCGGGGUGGGGCCACCCCCAGAGGGAGCCGCCAAGGCAGAGGCAGGAAACCUUCCUUAGCGCCAGGGUAACCGCUGAAGGGGGAAAUUCAAAAGUUACCACCCUCUCUCGAGAGCUGAGCCCGAAGGAGGAGACCCGGAAUGUUCAUUUUGGGGAGGUUUUCACAAGUCUUUUGGUGCGCAGGCAUCCAUUUCACCCGGGUCACGUUCGAGAUGGAGACCAGCCCAAGGCGGCAGGUGGGUGCACCCAGGCCUCACCCGUCAUGGAGGUGCCUCCCGUGGGCCACCCCGACGGCCACCCUGGGAUCCACGUGGCAAACCAAUAGCACCCCACCAGCUCCCUGGACCACGAGAGCCUUCUCUACCCCACCCCCACCCCCGACUCCUGCACACAAGUACACCUCUGCAGGUGCACCUCGUUCCUUAGCAGUGUCAACUGGCCCAAGGGUCUGCUCUAGGGCCCACCUCAGGGUAGAGACCCCACUCACCUGGGAACUACGCCCCCUGCUGGAGAGGCCCCGAGGCCCAGCAGCCCUCAGAUAGGUCCUUUCUGGCUGUGAAUGUCCAGAUGACACCUGUUCCCAGCCCGCCCCAAGGGGCCAGCAGCAUUUCUAUGAUUUUGCUUAGGAAGAACAGUUCGUAGUUUGUUGGGGUUUUAUUUUAUUUAAUUUAUUUAUUUAUUGUCUUUUUUGCCUUUUCUAGGGCCGCUCCAGCGGCAUAUGGAAGUUCCCAGGCUAGGGGUCUAAUCGGAGCCGUAGCCGCCGGCCUACGCCAGAGCCACAGCAACGCAGGAUCUGUGAUGCGUCUGCAACCUACACCACAGCUCACGGCAACGCCGGAUCCUUAACCCACUGAGCAAGGGCAGGGAUCGAACCCGCAACCUCUUGGUUCCUAGUCGGAUUGGUUAACCACUAAGCCACGACAGGAACUCCAGUUUGUUGGGUUUUUUCCCAAAUGCAGCUGGAACAGGGAGGCAAAACUGACCUUUCACGUGUAUUUUGGAUUAAUUCAGAAAUACUCUGUCCAAAUAAAGAGUAUCAGGUGAUUGUACUUCAUGGGUCCUUUCAUCUAAAUUAUUAAAAAUCCCAAGGAUUCUCCGGUCCACAUAUAACACUUCCAAUGACCAAAGCAGACAAAUAAGUUUUCUCUCUAAAGGCGAGAAAACCCUCGUUUCUUGGAGAGAAAAAGAGAACGUGGCAGGUCAGCCUGCUGAAUCCUACCUGUCUCCAUCGAAAAAAACAGAAAAAGGAUUAGGAUAUAAGAUGACCAGGACCCUUGUGGUUAUUAUUGUACGUCAUUGUGUUGUUCUUUGAUACGAUACCUUCUAAUUAAAUUUAAAUUGAUCGAAUAGUUUCAGCAGUGACUUCUCAAUACUCAUGUGUGAUUCUGAUGAUGCUGGAAUCUGGUGGAAUUCUCAUUGCACAUUC